Dipodomys ordii (Ord's kangaroo rat) is the source of this 71-nucleotide non-coding RNA. The record is from Rfam. Lineage: Eukaryota; Metazoa; Chordata; Mammalia; Rodentia; Heteromyidae.
UGGAAUGUGACUUAAUGGUAGAGUGCUUGCCUAGCAUGCAUGAAGCUUUGGGUUUGAUUCCUCAGUUCCAC